GAGUUUGAUCAUGGCUCAGGAUGAACGCUGGCGGCGUGCCUAAUACAUGCAAGUCGAACGAGGUGCUUUUGUAGCAAUACGAGAGUAUCCUAGUGGCGAACGGGUGAGUAACGCGUUGGUGACCUACCCCAAAGUGUGGGAUAACAGUCCGAAAGGAUUGCUAAUACCGCAUGUGGUCAUUGGAUUUAGAAACUGAUGACCAAAGGAGCAAUUCGCUUUGGGAGGGACCUGCGUCCCAUCAGCUAGUUGGUGAGGUAAUGGCUCACCAAGGCGACGACGGGUAGGGGACCUGAGAGGGUGGCCCCCCACAAUGGAACUGAAACACGGUCCAUACACCUACGGGUGGCAGCAGUAGGGAUACUGCUCGAUGGGCGAAAGCCUGAAGCAGCAACGCCGCGUGCGUGAUGAAGUCUUCGGAUCGUAAGCGCUUUUCUGGGAGAUGAGAAAGACAGUAUCCCAGGAUAAGUCUCGGCUAACUACGUGCCAGCAGCCGCGGUAAACGUAGAGCAAGCGUUAUCCGGAUUCACUGGGCGUAAAGCGCGUGCAGUGGCGCGGUAAGUUGGAUGUGAAAUCUCCC
Molecule: ribosomal RNA, 577 nt
Filed under: uncultured bacterium
Lineage: Bacteria
Description: bacterial SSU rRNA
Rfam family: Bacterial small subunit ribosomal RNA
Source: RNAcentral